UACGUAGGGUGCGAGCGUUAAUCGGAAUUACUGGGCGUAAAGCGUGCGCAGGCGGUUCGCCAAGUCAGGUGUGAAAUCCCCGGGCUCAACCUGGGAACUGCGCUUGAAACUGCCUGGCUAGAGUUUGAGAGAGGGAAGUGGAAUUCCACAUGUAGCGGUGAAAUGCGUAGAUAUGUGGAGGAACAUCAGUGGCGAAGGCGGCUUCCUGGCUUAAAACUGACACUGUGGCGCGAAAGCGUGGGUAGCAAACAGG
This 253-nucleotide ribosomal RNA is filed under the name uncultured bacterium. RNAcentral's name for it is "partial 16S ribosomal RNA". It matches the Rfam family "Bacterial small subunit ribosomal RNA", at positions 524 to 776 of the family's 1533-position model. The record is from RNAcentral.